Molecule: ribosomal RNA, 439 nt
Filed under: uncultured bacterium
Lineage: Bacteria
Description: partial 16S ribosomal RNA
Rfam family: Bacterial small subunit ribosomal RNA
Source: RNAcentral
CUACGGGUGGCUCCAGUGAGGAAUAUUGCACAAUGGGGGGAACCCUGAUGCAGCAACGCCGCGUGGAGGAUGACGCAUUUAGGUGUGGAAAAAGGAGUUAUAUGUCAAGAAAAUGACGGUAGCAUAUGAAUAAGCGCCGGCUAACUCCGUGCCAGCAGCCGCGGUAAUACGGAGGGCGCAAGCGUUACUCGGAAUCACUGGGCGUAAAGGACGCGUAGGCGGGUUGAAAAGUCAGGUGUGAAAGCCUACAGCUUAACUGUAGAACUGCACUUGAAACUCUCAACCUAGAGUAUGGGAGGGGCAGAUGGAAUUAGUGGUGUAGGGGUAAAAUCCGUAGAUAUCACUAGGAAUACCUAAAGCGAAGGCGAUCUGCUGGAACAUUACUGACGCUAAGGCGUGAAAGCGUGGGGAGCAAACAGGAUUAGAUACCCCCGUAGUC